AUACUGUAUGUGGCAGCACAUACAGUAACAUUGGAAUGACAUGAAGAUCAGCAUGGCCCAUGUGAAGGGGUGACAUGCAGUUUUGUGAAGUCUUUUGUAUUAAA
This 104-nucleotide small nuclear RNA is filed under the name Mus pahari (shrew mouse). The record is from RNAcentral. Lineage: Eukaryota; Metazoa; Chordata; Mammalia; Rodentia; Muridae.